AGUCUCACCGAGAAGUGGCCAACCCAUUGAACCCGGUGGGAGUUUACCAUUGCAUCUGGGAUUUCUCCACCUGUAGACCCAGUGCGUGAUGAUUAUAAUAAUCACGGUUCCAGUGCACACACCCCACAUCGGACUCGAUUAUAUUAUUUAAUAUUGCAAAAGACGAUUACUGUGCUAUGAAUUUGCAGGAUUGCAAUGUGAGCAGAUGGCAAUGGAGCUGAUGAUGCGUAUAACAGAAGAGGGUAUUGCAGUAGCAGAAAUUAGAAGCGCUUUGAGGUUGGAAACGUGAGGAAGGGGAUAUAGAUUAUAGACAGGUAGGAGAAGAAAGUGCUGGCGUAUCUCGUCAACCAUGAGGAACUCCUUUUAAAUAGGUAGGCAGGCAAUACUCGCAACCAGUUAGAAAUUAAUUUUAUAAUAUUUGGCUCGUCAUUUGAAAAAAUUAUUGGUUACUUCAGAAUUUUAUAAUAUAUUUUAAAAUUUUAUUUUAUGAUUUUUUACCAAAAUUUAAAAUAUAUCAAUCAUAUUUAUAAGAUCACUAUAUAUUCAUGAAGCAUCUGACAAUUAC
Molecule: long non-coding RNA, 565 nt
Filed under: Carica papaya (papaya)
Lineage: Eukaryota; Viridiplantae; Streptophyta; Magnoliopsida; Brassicales; Caricaceae
Description: long non-coding RNA (CPAP_LNC007633)
Source: RNAcentral